CAACCCUCGAGCCCCCCCCUUCCGGGGGGAGGGGCCCGGUGUUGGGGGACGGCCCGCCCUCGCGGCAGGCCGCCCCCGAAAUGGAUCGGCGGCAACGGCGUCCGCCUCCCCUGCGUAGUAGCACAGCAUCUCGCAACGGGAGCGCGCCGCGGCCACUGCCGUAAAACGCACAACCCUUCAAGAG
RNAcentral lists this unclassified non-coding RNA (184 nucleotides) under uncultured Hypocreales. RNAcentral's name for it is "sequence contains ITS2". The record is from RNAcentral. Lineage: Eukaryota; Fungi; Ascomycota; Sordariomycetes; Hypocreales.